RNAcentral lists this ribosomal RNA (244 nucleotides) under uncultured bacterium. RNAcentral's name for it is "partial 16S ribosomal RNA". It matches the Rfam family "Bacterial small subunit ribosomal RNA", at positions 355 to 591 of the family's 1533-position model. The record is from RNAcentral.
UGGGGAAUUUUGGACAAUGGGCGCAAGCCUGAUCCAGCAAUGCCGCGUGCAGGAUGAAGGCCUUCGGGUUGUAAACUGCUUUUGUACGGAACGAAAAAGCUCUCUCUAGUACAGGGGGUGAAUGACGGUACCGUAAGAAUAAGCACCGGCUAACUACGUGCCAGCAGCCGCGGUAAUACGUAGGGUGCACGCGUUAAUCGGAAUUACUGGGCGUAAAGCGUGCGCAGGCGGUUUUGUAAGACAG